This 460-nucleotide ribosomal RNA is filed under the name uncultured bacterium. RNAcentral's name for it is "bacterial SSU rRNA". It matches the Rfam family "Bacterial small subunit ribosomal RNA", at positions 28 to 507 of the family's 1533-position model. The record is from RNAcentral.
GACGAACGCUGGCGGCGUGCCUAACACAUGCAAGUCGAACGGAGUUGCCCUUCGGGACAACUUAGUGGCGAACGGGUGAGUAACGCGUGAGAAACCUGCCUUUCAGUGGGGGACAACAGUUGGAAACGACUGCUAAUACCGCAUAAUGUAUCGAGAGGGCAUCCUCUUGAUACCAAAGAUUUAUUGCUGAAAGAUGGUCUCGCGUCUGAUUAGCUAGUUGGUGAGGUAACGGCUCACCAAGGCGACGAUCAGUAGCCGGUCUGAGAGGAUGAAUGGCCACAUUGGGACUGAGAUACGGCCCAGACUCCUACGGGAGGCAGCAGUGGGGAAUAUUGGGCAAUGGGGGAAACCCUGACCCAGCAACGCCGCGUGAAGGGAGAAGGGCUUUCGGGUUGUAAACUUCUUUGUCGAGGAAGAGUAGAAGACUGUACUCGGCGAAUAAGCCACGGCUAACUACGUG